RNAcentral lists this ribosomal RNA (228 nucleotides) under uncultured bacterium. RNAcentral describes it as "partial 16S ribosomal RNA". It matches the Rfam family "Bacterial small subunit ribosomal RNA", at positions 109 to 334 of the family's 1533-position model. The record is from RNAcentral.
CGUAACGCGUGGGUAACCUGCCUUUGAGUGGGGAAUAACAAUCGGAAACGAUUGCUAAUACCGCAUAAUGCAGCGGCACCGCAAGGUGACAGUUGUUAAAGGAGCAAUCCGCUUAAAGAGGAGCUUGCGGCAGAUUAGCUAGUUGGUAAGGUAAUGGCUUACCAAGGCUACGAUCUGUAUCCGGUCUAAGAGGACGGUCGGACACACUGACACUGAAUAACGGGUCAG